RNAcentral lists this ribosomal RNA (381 nucleotides) under uncultured bacterium. RNAcentral describes it as "bacterial SSU rRNA". It matches the Rfam family "Bacterial small subunit ribosomal RNA", at positions 32 to 390 of the family's 1533-position model. The record is from RNAcentral.
AAUCAACGCUGGCGGCGUGCCUCAGACAUGCAAGUCGAACGAUUAAAGCUCUCUUCGGAGAGUGUAUAGAGUGGCGCACGGGUGAGUAACACGUAAGUAAUCUACCUUCGAGUGGGGAAUAACGUCCGGAAACGGACGCUAAUACCGCAUAAUGCAGCGGCACCUAAUGGUGACAGUUGUUAAAGCGGGGGAGUCGUAAGACCUCGCGUCUGAAGAGGAGCCUGCGGCGGAUUAGCUUGUUGGUAAGGUAAUGGCUUACCAAGGCGACGAUCCGUAACCGGCCUGAGAGGGCGGUCGGUCACACUGACACUGACAUACGGGUCAGACUCCUACGGGAGGCAGCAGUCGGGAAUUUUGGGCAAUGGGCGCAAGCCUGACCCA